Molecule: long non-coding RNA, 1163 nt
Filed under: Mytilus galloprovincialis (Mediterranean mussel)
Lineage: Eukaryota; Metazoa; Mollusca; Bivalvia; Mytilida; Mytilidae
Source: RNAcentral
UGUUUUGUACAUGUUAUACAUGUAUGGCUUAUCUAACAUUUGAUAUUGUACAGAAAUUAUCUUUUUUUAAUGUAAUAUAUUUAUUUUGUAUAUAAAGACAUUUAUUGAAUGAGUUAAAUUUAAAUGUACAAUGUACAAUAUAUAGUGCUGAUUUAAGUUUGGUACCUUAUUUGAUAGUUGACAUAUUGAUAAGCAUAAUUUCAAAACAUCCCGGACAGCAGAGGCGGAUUUAGUGUUUAACAGGGGACCUGCUCUUCCCUCUUUUUGUUGGAAACAAAUGUUGAUUAUUUAGGGCAUCACUGAAGCGUGAAUGGAGCCGCAUCAUCUUAGGCUGUCAGUACCCACCACACGCCCUAUCCCCACCACAUGAAAAUUUCUGGAUAUGCCACUAUAUACUUCAGUAAAAAUUAGAGGAGAUGUAGGGAAAACAGACAUGCGACUCUUAAACAAAAAAAAUUUGAAGUAGUUUUUUUCUUUGUGUGAAAGAUUGCUAUGGGCAAAGUUUUCAUUUAACAUGUUUAAUAAAAGAAUAAAAGUUACACUUUUGAUUUUUAAAGUAUUAUUUGCUAUUUAGCAUUUCCUGAAAAAGCAAUAAUUUUGACUUAUAUUUUUUGUCCAUGUAUCUAUAAGUUCAGGUUUCUGAAUUUACAGUACUUCAUAUACAUAUUUUAAGCAAUCAUGCAGGAUCAACAUGUCCUGUAGAUAUGUUUCCAAUGACACAAUUUGAGCAAAAGAUACUGCCCCUAGAUUCCUUGCACAAAUUUCUUCAUAAAUUAGCGGAAUUCAACUGUAAUCUAGACUGACUACUAGACUUCAAAAAAAGUUGUUUUCUGAAUAAUUUUUAUUCCUUUUAGCCUUGCUUGGUUAAUUACUUCGAUAUAGCUGUAAAAAAAUGAAGUAGUAGUUUAUAUUAGAACAAUUUGUUUAAGAGAGAAGAGAAAUUUUUGCCUCGAAAGCAUAAAUAAUACACAAUUUUGUCAACUUAAAAAGCCAACUGUUUUGUGUACAUUUCUACUGAGGACUUCAUCCUUUGUUUUACAAACAUGACAAAUAUGUUACACUUGCAUAAUUGUUAAACAAUCUACACUGAUAUGGUACUUUUUAUUUUUUGGUUAAUUACACUGAUCAGAACAAUAGAAUUAGAUCAAAAAUACUUGCCGACA